AAUUCAAUUGAAGAAACAUGGCACAAACUCAGAAUACAACAAUACAAAAUAUAACACAACCCUGGAAGGAGGUUCUUGCAAUAUAGAUUGUAACAACAACACCAAUUAAGCUCAAAUAUUACAAGAUAGUUAGAAAACAAAUAUACAACUUUAAACCCAGCUAACAAGGAGUUACAGAUGAUGAGGAUCCUUUUCCUGUCGCAACAAGUGUUUAAAAGAGAUUAAGACGGAGAACAAACUCUCAAACUUCGUGGGACAGUAAAUACCUCAAGAGUGGAGGGCAUUACAUACCUCAAGAGUGGAGGGCAUUACCGCUCAACUUCCACCAGGAUAUUCCAAUCUCAAACUUCGUGGGACAGUAAAUACCUCAAGAGUGGAGGGCAUUACCGCUCAACUUCCACCAGGAUAUUCCAAAGAAUAUCACAGUAUCUCCUAAUCUCCUUAAUCCCCAAGCACAAUAAAAGUAAAUCCACCAAAUCAUUCUGUGGUGAGAAACAACUGACUGUACGAACUGUACAAAGAUACAUCACAGACGACAACCCAAUCUCCAGCCAAACAGAGCAUGGUUCCCGGUAAGUAGGACCGUAAGUAAGCCGGAGAUGAAGAACGAAAAGAAAUCCUAACAUGAGCUGGUCAUAAAAUGGGAGGCUUGUAGCUUAAAGAGGGGUUUAAGCAAAUGCUUGACAGUGUAGGGCCUUCGUGGGCAUAAAUGAAUCUGGGCCAUCCCGGCCUGGUUUUUAUAUAAUUUUACUUUUGGGCCUAGCCUCAAUCUUUCCCUUUAAGAAAAUAAAAGGGUAAAGUAUGGGUACAAUACGACAUUCAGAAGCACAUCAUUUUCAUUGCAGAAAACCGUAAAGCGGCAUGACGUUUGCACUGUGAGCUUUUGGCCCAUAAAACCCGAAGGUGUCGAGAAAAAUGUUAAUGAGAGAUUAAGAACAAGCAUCUAAGAAGCUAUACAACCAUUAUCAAACAACUGUGUGCAUAAUGUCCAUGACCCCAAGAUAAGAUCCUCUAUUUAUAUACUUGUUGCCCAUAAACCAAA
Prunus persica (peach) is the source of this 1042-nucleotide long non-coding RNA. RefSeq lists it as uncharacterized. Lineage: Eukaryota; Viridiplantae; Streptophyta; Magnoliopsida; Rosales; Rosaceae. The record is from RefSeq and is a predicted model, not a curated record. The transcript is spliced from 2 exons.